GCCAAUUGGGUGUCCGCACUAAGUUCAGCAUCAUUAUGGCCCACCAGGUUGCCUAAGGAGGGAUAAACUGGCCCAGGUCAGAAACGGAGCAGGUCAAAACUCCUGUGCUGAUCAGUAGUGGGAUCCCGCCUGUGA
Unclassified non-coding RNA from Callithrix jacchus (white-tufted-ear marmoset), 135 nucleotides. It matches the Rfam family "Metazoan signal recognition particle RNA". From Rfam's summary of the family: The signal recognition particle (SRP) is a universally conserved ribonucleoprotein. It is involved in the co-translational targeting of proteins to membranes. The eukaryotic SRP consists of a 300-nucleotide 7S RNA and six proteins: SRPs 72, 68, 54, 19, 14, and 9. The record is from Ensembl. Lineage: Eukaryota; Metazoa; Chordata; Mammalia; Primates; Cebidae.